GACAGAGGGUGCAAACGUUGCUCGGAAUCACUGGGCGUAAAGGGCGUGUAGGCGGGGAUGUAAGUCGGGCGUGAAAGCCCCAGGCUCAACCUGGGAACUGCACUCGAAACUGCGUUUCUUGAGUAUCGGAGAGGAAAGCGGAAUACCUGGUGUAGAGGUGAAAUUCGUAGAUAUCAGGUGGAACACCAGUGGCGAAGGCGGGUCUCUGGGCCGAUACUGACGCUGAGGAGCGAAAGCGUGGGGAGCGAACAGG
Molecule: ribosomal RNA, 253 nt
Filed under: uncultured bacterium
Lineage: Bacteria
Description: partial 16S ribosomal RNA
Rfam family: Bacterial small subunit ribosomal RNA
Source: RNAcentral